Molecule: long non-coding RNA, 3298 nt
Organism: Dreissena polymorpha
Lineage: Eukaryota; Metazoa; Mollusca; Bivalvia; Myida; Dreissenidae
Exons: 2
Source: RefSeq, a predicted model, not a curated record
UUCUGUUAACACAUUUUUAUAUCUCAAUAUUUUGUCCGAUCUAAGAGACACAUUGAAUACAUGUCUUUUAAACAAAUCACUACCAUUGUCUUUUUCUCUUACAGAUUAUCAUGCCAUUUUCCUCGACUACUGCUCUUAGAUGGAAUGUCAGAAUUUCGAUCAUCUACGCAUCCUGCAGCACUUGGAGCUGAUGAGACAGCAGCGAGAGUUAUCCCCGAUGGCCCUGGCCCUGAAUCUGAAGCACAAAUGCCCCCAUUGCAGCAAGGUGAUGGCUAGCAGGUACGCGCUAGAGAUGCACAUCCGGGUCCAUACGGGCGAGAAGCCAUACGCCUGUCACUUGUGUGACCAUAAGGCCAACACCAAGGGAAAUCUCAAGAAACACAUGCUAGUGCAUGCGAAAGACACGGACGGCAUGCUUAAAUAAUAAGCAACAGAUGCGAUUGAUUGUUAUUUGAAGUGUGAACACAUUUCUAUGUGUGAAAAUAUGGGCGAUGUGUUUAACCCAUUUAUGCCUAGUGUCUUCAUAAAAGGCCUUGGCAAACAGCGUAGACCCAGAUUUGACGCCACAUGAUGCGGCGUUUCAUCAGGGUCUGCACUGUUUUAUUAAAGGAAUUUCUGUAAGAAAUAUUCUAAAUAUAGAAAUAAAUAUACUUGACAUCCCUUAUUUUGGAAAUAAAUUGAUCUAAUUAAGAAGGAUGGGAGAGUCCACUAGGCAUAACUGGGUUAAACAAUUUGCAUGUAGUCGUUAGCUCACCUGAGCGCUUAGUGUAUGUAAAAAUAUGCAAAGUGAGUAGAAGUUAUUUUUUUAUAUCUCACUUGAGUACAUAGGGAGCUUGUGGGAGCUUUAAGGGUACAGUGUUGUCCUGCGUCUGUCAGUAAGUGCUUGCGUCUAUAAAUUGUUUUCUUCAAAAUACUUUUUUUCCUCAACCUUUUGACAGAUUUUAACAAAACUUCACAUGAAUGAUUAUUGGGUGACACUUUUUAAAAUAUAGUUUUGGUCUGCUGCAUUUGUAGGUCACAUGACAUAAAAUAUGUGUUAAAAAUGAAAACGUUAAAAAUCUCUGAAACCACAAGGAUAAGAGGUUAAAUAUAUGGUGUGUAACAUUGUCUUGUGGUCAUUAACCAGGUUUUCCGAAGGAAAAAACUGGUUAUUAGAUUGGCGAAUGCGGGUGGGCUGGCUGGCUGGCGGGCUGGCUGGCGAGCUGGCGGGCUGGCGGAAUAAGCUUGUCCGGGCCAUAACUAUGUCGUUCAUUGUCAGAUUUUGAAAUCAUUUGGCACAUUUGUUCACCAUCAUUGGACGGUGUGUCGCGCGAAAUAAUUACGUCGAUAUCUCCAAGGUCAAGGUCACACUUUGAGUUCAAAGGUCAAAAAUGGCCAUAAAUGAGCUUGUCCGAGCCAUAACUAUGUCGUUCAUCGUCAGAUUUUAAAAUCAUUUGGCACAUUUGUUCACCAUCAUUGGACGGUGUGUCGCGCGAAAUAAUUACGUCGAUAUCUCCAAGGUCAAGGUCACACUUUGAGUUCAAAGGUCAAAAAUGGCCAUAAAUGAGCUUGUCCUGGCCAUAACUAUGUCAUUCAUUGUGAGAUUUUAAAAUCAUUUGGCACAUUUGUUCACCAUCAUGGGACGGUGUGUCCCACGAAAGAAUCACGUCAAUAUCCAAUGUCAAGGUCGCCACGACUAAAAAUAGAUUUAAAAAAAAAAAAAAAUUACAAAGGGGGUUAAUUUUUUUUGGUCAUUUCAAAAGUUCAGUUUGAGUUUUCUCCCUUUAUCAGAUUUUUUUUUCACAAUGAAAACCUGGUUUUGUGACAAUUUUGUCCCUUGUUUUAUACUUAGUUUGUUUUAAUUAUGCCCUCGGUUCGAAACUGGUCAUCCCCAGGGGUCAGGCUAGUUGUAUAGACUUAAAUAGUGAAUAAAUUUUAAACUCUUCUCUGGAACCACACGGGCCAGAGUUUUACAAUUGUGUGAGUAACUGUUGGUUCUCUACCAAGUUUAUUCAAAUCAUUACCCUUUGUUCUUAAUUGACUUCGCCAUAGGGGUUACUUGUUUUCCGUAUACAUGUAUGUAUGUAUUAAAAAUCUUCGUUAUGAAACCGCAAGGCACCAAGUUUUUUUUUGCAUGUCACAUAAUGCAAUCCUCUUCUGAGUUUGUUUAAAUAAUAGCCCACAGGUCGAACCUGACCAUGCCCCAGAGGUCAUAUGAUCUACAUGUACUAUAGUUAAUAACCUCAAACAUCCCUGAAACAGCAAGGUUCAGUUUUCAGUAAGUGAUAUUAAACAUUUUAUGGGUUUCGUAAAAUCCUUCCCCUGGGGUAGAACUUAACCACGCCCCAGGGGCCACAUGGUUUAUAUUGACUUUUUAUGCCCCUUGAUCGAAAGAUCGGGGGCAUAUUGUUUUUGGCCUGUCUGUCUGUGUGUCAUUUAUUGUAUGUGUGUGUCCUAAAACUUUUAACUUGUUAAAUUUUUGCAAAAACUUUUGCAUUAUUGAAGAUAGCAACUUGAUAUUUGGCAUGCAUGUGUAUCUCAUGGAGCUGCAUAUUUUGAGUGGUUAAAGGUCAAGGUUAAGGUCAUCCUUCAUGGUCAAAGGUCAAAUAUAUGGCUUGAAAGCGGCUCAAUAGGGGGCAUUGUGUUUUUGACAAACACAUCUCUUAUUUUUACACAUUUUUUCUAUGAAUCCGCAAUGGUUUUUAGCUUAAUAUUUGGUGUGUAAAUUCGUUUGGUGGUCCUAUAAAAGUUUAUUUUAACAAUGCCGAUGGGGUCAAAGUUGGCUCCGCCUUUGGGGUAACUAGUUUUCAUUUAUGUAUGUUUUGAAAACUUUUAAAAUCUUUUCUUAAACCGCAAAAAGGGGUGUUUGGCAUAUAGCAUCGUAUGGUGGAUCUCUAACACUAACAGGUUUGUUCAAAUUAUGCCGCUGGGGUCAAAACAAACAAUGCCGCAGUGGUCAUAUAACUAGGGUCGAUUCAUAGUUAGUAGAGCUGUAGAAUUUGUUGAAAGCAUUGUGUAAAAAGUUUUGUUUUUGAGUUUUUCUUGAUGCACACAAUCAUUUUAUUUCACUAUUGAUACAAUUGUAUUUAAAUGCAUUCAUGCACACGAUGCUGUCAUGGGUUGUCUGUGUGCGUUUGUUAUUAUUCUCACAUGUUUAUUUUGCUAUAGUUAGGUUUUUGAUGAUAGAUUUUAAUGAAUGGUUAUGUAGAAAUUACCAAAACGAACGUCUUUACAUACGUUUUGUUCCUCUGUAAUGUUGUAUAUAUUGUGUAGGAAAUGUAAUAAUACAAGUAUUUUGAUAUUAAAAUGUUGUCAUGUA